Molecule: non-coding RNA, 336 nt
Organism: Phascolarctos cinereus (koala)
Lineage: Eukaryota; Metazoa; Chordata; Mammalia; Diprotodontia; Phascolarctidae
Source: RefSeq, a predicted model, not a curated record
UCCUGGACCAGUUGGGACCCAGAGCAGAUUUCCUUUCUUUGAGGAGAAAAACUAGUCCAGAAUACAGGGCAAGGGCCUGGGUAAUAAGGACUCUCCUUCACCUUCAUCCAGAGACUCAGGAUUGCCACCAAGUCAGUUAAAGAAUCUGCUUUCUUCCAGGAAUCUGAAGGAGUGCCUAUAAAUUGGAGAAUAGAUGAAGAGGUUAUGACAUAAAUGUGAUGGAAUAAUAUUACGCUAAACACAAACAGGAUUCCAGAGGACAACUGAUGAAACAUGUUACCCACCUGAAAGAGAAAUGAAAGACUCAGAUGAAGAAUGAAGCAAAAUUUUUUUGGA